RNAcentral lists this ribosomal RNA (731 nucleotides) under uncultured Streptomyces sp. RNAcentral describes it as "bacterial SSU rRNA". It matches the Rfam family "Bacterial small subunit ribosomal RNA", at positions 66 to 779 of the family's 1533-position model. Lineage: Bacteria; Bacillati; Actinomycetota; Actinomycetes; Kitasatosporales; Streptomycetaceae. The record is from RNAcentral.
GCGGACAGAUGGGAGCUUGCUCCCUGAUGUUAGCGGCGGACGGGUGAGUAACACGUGGGUAACCUGCCUGUAAGACUGGGAUAACUCCGGGAAACCGGGGCUAAUACCGGAUGCUUGUUUGAACCGCAUGGUUCAAACAUAAAAGGUGGCUUCGGCUACCACUUACAGAUGGACCCGCGGCGCAUUAGCUAGUUGGUGAGGUAAUGGCUCACCAAGGCAACGAUGCGUAGCCGACCUGAGAGGGUGAUCGGCCACACUGGGACUGAGACACGGCCCAGACUCCUACGGGAGGCAGCAGUAGGGAAUCUUCCGCAAUGGACGAAAGUCUGACGGAGCAACGCCGCGUGAGUGAUGAAGGUUUUCGGAUCGUAAAGCUCUAUUGUUAGGGAAGAACAAGUACCGUUCGAAUAGGGCGGUACCUUGACGGUACCUAACCAGAAAGCCACGGCUAACUACGUGCCAGCAGCCGCGGUAAUACGUAGGUGGCAAGCGUUGUCCGGAAUUAUUGGGCGUAAAGGGCUCGCAGGCGGUUUCUUAAGUCUGAUGUGAAAGCCCCCGGCUCAACCGGGGAGGGUCAUUGGAAACUGGGGAACUUGAGUGCAGAAGAGGAGAGUGGAAUUCCACGUGUAACGGUGAAAUGCGUAGAGAUGUGGAGGAACACCAGUGGCGAAGGCGACUCUCUGGUCUGUAACUGACGCUGAGGAGCGAAAGCGUGGGGAGCGAACAGGAUU